This 473-nucleotide long non-coding RNA is filed under the name Setaria italica (foxtail millet). Its description in RNAcentral is "long non-coding RNA (SITA_LNC007417)". Lineage: Eukaryota; Viridiplantae; Streptophyta; Magnoliopsida; Poales; Poaceae. The record is from RNAcentral.
GAACACAGCCAUGGCCACCACUUCCUUAUCUCUCCAAGGCCGUCCUUCGCAGGCCCCGGCCAAGAAGCUGUCCUCCCCGUUCCUCGGCGCCCCGGCCUCCUUCCUCCGGCCACUGGCGCCGGCGUCCAGCGCCGCCCCCUCGCGGCGGACCCUCGCCGUCAGGGCCAUGGCGCCGCCGAAGCCGGGAGGCAAGCCCAAGAAAGGUCUGUGCCCUUCGUUUUCUUCGCCAUUCCUGAAACAUCAGAGAGGACCCAUGUUUUGUUGCGCCUAAACCGUUGUGCUUCGAUUCUCCUGAAUGCAGUGGUGGGCAUGAUAAAGCUGGCCCUGGAGGCCGGCAAGGCGACGCCGGCGCCGCCCGUUGGACCGGCGCUUGGUGCUAAGGGUGUGAACAUCAUGGCGUUCUGCAAGGAGUACAAUGCCAAGACGGCCGAGAAGGCUGGUUACAUCAUCCCCGUCGAGAUCACCGUCUUCGA